This is a long non-coding RNA of Clupea harengus (Atlantic herring), 2177 nucleotides long. The record is from Ensembl. NCBI's taxonomy places the organism in Eukaryota, Metazoa, Chordata, Actinopteri, Clupeiformes, Clupeidae.
CUCCACCCCUCCUUCCUUCCCUCUCUCCACUUGUCCCACUGUUCUCCUUUCCCCCCUCACUCUGGAAGUGGGGCCCUUUUCGCCAUUCAGUUCAUACAUACAAAUGACGUGACAGCAGUAUCCUCCAGGCAGUAUGGUGAAGGAAGGAUCUUUUCUUUCUCGCAAGUCAGCCCAGGGGUCUUUACGAUCUGCACGGACACACACUCCAUCACAUUCAAACAAUCACUCACACACACACACAUAAGACCAGGAUCCCGGUUGCAUUUGUGAAGACUCAAGUAGGGCCGAACCAUUUGUGGAAAGUAACUCAUUUGAUUGCAAUCUAAUUUGAAUAUCACAAUAUUAACUGCUCUAUAUUCUAAUGUAAGGAUGAGAACUUAAAAGAUAUGUAUAGUUUCAAACAUGUAUUUAUUACAUUUAUGUAAUUGACAAAUAACAUAUAACAAUAAAUCACAAAAGCUGUAACCUAAGUUAAAUAAAGUAAAAAUAAUAAAAAUACAUAAAUAUUAAAUCUAAAUAUAAAAAUCUAAUAUUGAUAAAAAUCUAAAUAUUGCACAAUCUGCAAUCUUAACUAAAUAUAAUAAUAGAAACAGGCCAAGACAAGGGCAGCCGUACAUAAGUGAUUGGACACCAUCAACAGGCCCACUGCAUAGGCUGGGAAUUACCAUGGAUAUAGGAUUCCAUGUAAUUAAUGCUAAAUCACACAGAGUGAACCACAAACAGUUGAUUCUAAGUGGCUGCAAAUCUCUUAAACUCCCUGAGUUAUGUGACAAGUGCCUUCUACUCAAAGUUGAUAGUGAGGUUCUCUUACACAGUCUGACGUAUAACAGUAAUAACAUACACUGCUGUGGAGAUACCAUUUCCCCGUCUCUUUCAGGAGAGUGGCAGCUGAGGAAAACAAAGAAACAAACUGAUAUACUACUCAAGUUUAACUAGUAAGCGAUCUGUUGACUGACAAUCUUAAGGCAUAAGGUAACAGUUGGCUAAUUAUUCCAUCAGUGUCAGGGCUGGAGACAUAAUCCCUGAGGGCUAAAGCUGCUCUCUCAAACAUGCCACACAGCCUCCUGAUCUACAUAUCAAUCUGAAGUCCCUACCAACUGUGAAUGGAUUCAUUUCUAUGAGUUUAAGGGGGUCUGCAUGAGAGUGACAGCCAAUUAUACUUGGCUGUGGCCUUGAAAGGACAGAGGCAGCCACAUCAGCUCAGGUCACAACAAGGCUUUUGUGCAUAAACCCCACAGCGUUGUUCCGACCACCUUAUGACAGUGCCUCUGAUACACAAAAAGACACAUUUUGAAACACUGAAAGAAAGACAUCGAAAGGUUGGGGGGUGGGGUAGAGAGAGAGAGACCCUAAACCUAACGGUCCUAAAAUGACCACAGGCAUGUUUGACCCUUGUGAAAAAUCGUCACAUCACCUAUGCUCAGUCAAACCCUAUAAAUAUUCAUCUCAUGUUCACUUGUCAGAUACACCAAUAGCUAAUUUAACGGACUGCCCUUUUUCGCUUAGUUUCUUUGCUCGUGUGAAUUGCAAAAUGCCUACUGCAUGAUGUCUGAACUUAGUAACUGAGUAAAGCGUUUCUUGUAGUUUAAAACCAAUGGAUUUUAUUUUACAUAUUGAACAUAUGUGGGUAAUCAUGUUUCACAUUCACCCUUCAACACCGCAUCGUCCAUCGAGACAGUUACCUUGACGGCAAUAGUAUCGUCCUAUUGCCAUAGUGUGCCAAGUACACUAUGUACUUGAGUGAGGAGGGAGAAAGAAUGUGUGUGUGUGUGUGUGUGUGUGUGUGUGUGUAUUCAUUUAUCACGCAAGCCCAUUGCUGUGCUGAUGUGUUCCAGAUGUGUAGUGGCAGUGCAGGGUUGGAUGUUUGUGUGCUGACUCCAUGGGAACUGGACUGCCGGUGUUCUCAUAAGCAGUGAGGCCGAGGCCAAGUGCAUGGGUCCACCUCUGUUCACCUCUGGGACCCAACAGCACUGCGCUCCCUUUGUCUGACCAACGCCUCUUCCUUCAGUUACAGAGAGGAGGUCGUGUCUGUCUGUCCGUCAUGUUUGAGGCUGACUUCAACAACACUUCAACUCUCAGUCAGACCAACACAUUUCACAACCCCACCUGCAUAUCAAUAUACAAACACAAGGGCACACACCCCUACACGCAUGCACACAGAUUACACACACACACAC